UCUUCUGAUCUUUCCUGGUGAAACACUGAGUGACACAGAACAGACAGAAACCCAAAUCAGGCAGGCAUCAGACAGUGUCUUUAUAAGCUUCAGUCUCUCUUCUCCUCUCACUCCAACCCUGCUCACCUCUCAGCUGGACAGUGAGGGACGUUUACACCACACACUGACAACAUGCUGGGGAUCCUCUGCACUCUCAUCACUGCUCUAACAUGUGUGAGUGGUGUGACGGUGGUGACACAGAAGCCUCCUGUUGUGACGGUGAGGAAAGGAGAGACAGUCACCAUGGACUGUAACCUGGGGACUGUUACUAACUAUCCGGCUCGCUGGUAUAAACAGACUCCUGGAGGAGUUCCUCAGUUUGUACUGAGCUUUUAUCACGGUUGGAGCUCUGUGAGAUAUGGCUCUGGUUUCUCCUCUCCAAAGUUCACAUCCACUCAUCAGUCAACAUCAGAUUAUCGUUUGACCAUCAACAAUGUGGAGGAGGGAGACUCAGCAGUCUAUUACUGUCAGACAUGGGAUACCUCUGCCUCAGCAGCUGUAUCACAGUGA
This is a non-coding RNA of Sebastes umbrosus (honeycomb rockfish), 549 nucleotides long. NCBI's taxonomy places the organism in Eukaryota, Metazoa, Chordata, Actinopteri, Perciformes, Sebastidae. The record is from the annotation of a RefSeq genome assembly.